GCGGAGCUGCUGGGUGCGUCAGGCUAUACAUCCCCAGGGCCAGUAAGCAUCUCCCUCGGGAGCUGGCUCUGUUGUGAUCUUGGUCAUGAUAUCUGGCGCCCACCUGCACAAGCAGGCUCUGGGAGGAUGACACGCCAACGGCCAUGGUGGCUCCGCA
This 157-nucleotide non-coding RNA is filed under the name Acetobacteraceae bacterium. RNAcentral describes it as "6S RNA". It matches the Rfam family "6S / SsrS RNA". From Rfam's summary of the family: E. coli 6S RNA was the first non coding RNA to be sequenced, but its function was unknown until recently. It consists of 184 nucleotides that fold into an extended hairpin structure with a large single-stranded internal bulge. The record is from RNAcentral. Lineage: Bacteria; Pseudomonadati; Pseudomonadota; Alphaproteobacteria; Acetobacterales; Acetobacteraceae.